This is a non-coding RNA of Camellia sinensis, 377 nucleotides long. The record is from RefSeq and is a predicted model, not a curated record. NCBI's taxonomy places the organism in Eukaryota, Viridiplantae, Streptophyta, Magnoliopsida, Ericales, Theaceae.
GCAUUGUACCAUUACCACCGGGAACCGAUCACUGUAACCAACCAAGUGGUCAGUCCUAGUCAUGACACCCGUUUUCUUUUGUCAACCUUCGUGGGUUCAGGCACUGCACGAAGCCAUUUAUUUUUGUAAAGUCUAUUGAAAUGUUGGCUUAAUUUUGAUUACCCAUUUAAAGUUAAAGAGGUAGAACUUCAAUGAUUUUUAUAUAAGCCCAAUGAUGGGGCUGGGUCUGUACAUAUGGUUGUUUAUCACCGAUGCUACAACAUAUGGUUUGGAGCUUUAUCUAUUUUCCAUGAUGAAUGUGAUGUAUAAGAGGUCCUGGCAUGUAGAUGUAGCUCAAUGGAAUUUAUAUGUAUAGUUAUUUUCCUACUUUAUGCUUC